Molecule: ribosomal RNA, 468 nt
Filed under: uncultured bacterium
Lineage: Bacteria
Description: partial 16S ribosomal RNA
Rfam family: Bacterial small subunit ribosomal RNA
Source: RNAcentral
GACGAACGCUGGCGGCGUGCUUAACACAUGCAAGUCGAACGGAAAGGCCCUGCUUUUGUGGGGUGCUCGAGUGGCGAACGGGUGAGUAACACGUGAGUAACCUGCCCUUGACUUUGGGAUAACUUCAGGAAACUGGGGCUAAUACCGGAUAGGAUCUCCUGCUGCAUGGUGGGGGUUGGAAAGUUUCGGCGGUUGGGGAUGGACUCGCGGCUUAUCAGCUUGUUGGUGGGGUAGUGGCUUACCAAGGCUUUGACGGGUAGCCGGCCUGAGAGGGUGACCGGCCACAAGGGGACUGAGAGACGGAGCAGACGCGUACAGGAGGCAGCAGGGGGGAGUAUGGCACAGUGGGAGGGAGCGUGAUGAAGAAACGCCGCGUGCGGGAUGACGGUCUUCGGGGUGUAAACAGCUGUAGCCUGUGACGAAGCGGGAGUGACGGUAAUGGGUAAAGAAGCACCGGCUAACUACGUG